RNAcentral lists this ribosomal RNA (253 nucleotides) under uncultured bacterium. RNAcentral describes it as "partial 16S ribosomal RNA". It matches the Rfam family "Bacterial small subunit ribosomal RNA", at positions 524 to 776 of the family's 1533-position model. The record is from RNAcentral.
GACGGAGGGUGCAAGCGUUGCUCGGAAUCAUUGGGCGUAAAGGGUGCGUAGGCGGCUUUUUAAGUCUGACGUGAAAGCCCAAGGCUCAGCCUUGGAAGUGCGCCAGAAACUGAAAGGCUAGAGUGCCGGAGGGGAGAGUGGAAUUCCUGGUGUAGCGGUGAAAUGCGUAGAUAUCAGGAGGAAUACCGGUGGCGAAAGCGACUCUCUGGACGGGAACUGACGCUGAGGCACGAAAGCGUGGGGAGCAAACAGG